RNAcentral lists this transfer RNA (64 nucleotides) under Argestina pomena. RNAcentral describes it as "tRNA-Tyr". It matches the Rfam family "tRNA". From Rfam's summary of the family: Transfer RNA (tRNA) molecules are approximately 80 nucleotides in length. Their secondary structure includes four short double-helical elements and three loops (D, anti-codon, and T loops). Further hydrogen bonds mediate the characteristic L-shaped molecular structure. tRNAs have two regions of fundamental functional importance: the anti-codon, which is responsible for specific mRNA codon recognition, and the 3' end, to which the tRNAs corresponding amino acid is attached (by aminoacyl-tRNA synthetases). tRNAs cope with the degeneracy of the genetic code in two manners: having more than one tRNA (with a specific anti-codon) for a particular amino acid; and 'wobble' base-pairing, i.e. permitting non-standard base-pairing at the 3rd anti-codon position. Lineage: Eukaryota; Metazoa; Arthropoda; Insecta; Lepidoptera; Nymphalidae. The record is from RNAcentral.
AGUAAAAUGGCUGAGGAUAAAAGCGAUAAAUUGUAAAUUUAUAAACGAGAAAAUCUCUUUUACU